ACAAUACCUCAUUUAGAUGUUUUUUUCUUCAUCAACCGCCUUAAAUUCCACAAGGAUCAUCAAUUUUUAUUUCUAUUCAAACAACACCUCAUUUAAUGGAUGGAGUGUACCUGCAUACACUUUGAGAAUUAAGUAAAUUUAUGUGUUAGAAUAGAAGGUUUUUAGUUAAAUCAUCAAGAAGAAAUAUGUUGCAUGAUCCAAAGUGUGUGCAAUUUAUGUUUCCUAAAAUUUCUAGAAGAAAAUUGUUAAGGUUAUGAGUUGCAUGAUCCAAGAUUCACAGAUGCGUGUUCUUACUGAUAGACGAUAAUUUAUGCUAUUGUGUUGUCUUAAGAGGAUGUCUAGGUGAAUUACGAUGGUCAAUCACCUCAGAUCCAUUUACAUAUGUUGUUAGGUCUUAGUUCAAGAAUGUGUCAUGUUUACAUGUAGUUGGACCUGAGUCUGACCCACCAUAGUUGCCCUCCAAGUCGUCGACUACUAGAGUUAAAGGAUGACUUGAGUUUGAAUGUUUUAAUUGUUCUCAAAUGAAUUUUCAUGGGGUCCAUAUGUGUCAGGUUGCCUGAGUUAGAUUUGAAUUUGUCCUCUAGAGAGUCAUAUUGGGAUCGAUGACUUGACCCGAAGUGACAUUUGGAUUUUUAUUUAAUGACACGUGGACCCUCUGUCAAAAAUUUUGAUUACCCUAUUUAGUUUCAAGUGCCUAAGUCGCGCCGUUCGAGGAAGAAUUACGACCGUUAGAUGAAAAUGAGGCCCUCAAAUCUGAGAUAAUAAAUAGGAGGAAAAAUUUGUGGUUCUCUUAUGGUUCUUUGCAUUCAUCUCUCAAGAGACUCGUUUGGACUCACCAAAGCUUUCUUCAAACAUUCAUUGCACUUUAAGAUAACUUCCUCUUUCUCUUUGUGAUCCUGGUUUCUUGCAUUUUUCUUUCAAUGAUGUUUUGUUCUUUUUUUAUAUAUGGUAGCCUUUAACUUCCACCAUAGAGGUUAACAUAACAGGAUUAUAG
RNAcentral lists this long non-coding RNA (994 nucleotides) under Cicer arietinum (chickpea). RNAcentral describes it as "long non-coding RNA (CARI_LNC003178)". The record is from RNAcentral. Lineage: Eukaryota; Viridiplantae; Streptophyta; Magnoliopsida; Fabales; Fabaceae.